AGGGAUCCAGGGGUGGAGCCAGAGCGCCACGUGCGGCUAGUGCGGAGCAAGAGGCUGGGCCGGAGGCGGCAGCAUGGCGGCGUCCGGAGCGAAGAAGAAACAGCAGCAGCGAGCGGCCGCGGCGGGGGGAGCCGGGCGCAGGCGGCGCAAGGUCCCUGAUGCAGAGGAGAAAUCCUGGCAGAAAGCUGGCUUGAAGCUGAAUGAGGAGAUCUCCAGUGACUCCGAUACAGAGAGCCCUACAUUUGGUGGGAAGCGGAAGAAGGACAAUGAGGCAGAAGAGGAGAUUGAAGAGACCGCACAGGAAAAGAAGCUGAGAUUAGCCAAACUUUACCUGGAGCAGCUUCGACAGCAGGAGGAGGAAAAGGCAGAAGAGGUGGCCUUGGAAAAGGACUUGGUUGCUGGCCGACUGAAGGAAGAUGUGCUUGAACAGAAGGGAAAACUGCAGCGACUGAUCGCCAAAGAUUUGCAGCCUCCAGAUACAGCAGCCAUCCGAGUGCUGCGAGGUCACCAACUGCCCAUCACCUGCCUGGUCAUCUCUCCAGAUGACAAGUGCAUCUUCUCAGCUGCCAAAGACUGCUCUAUCAUCAAAUGGGAUGUGGAGAGCGGGAAGAAGUUGCACGUGAUCCCUGGAGGGAAGAAGGGGACAGAGACCCAGCACAUCGGCCACACAGCGCACAUUCUUUCCAUGGCCAUCUCGUCAGAUGGCAAAUACCUGGCCACAGGAGACAGGAACAAACUGAUCAUGAUCUGGGAUGCUGUCACGUGCAAGCACCUGUAUAAAUUCACUGGCCAUCGAGACGCUGUGACGGGCCUGUCAUUCCAGAAGGGCACUCACCAACUGUACAGCGCCUCACACGAUCGCUCCGUCAAAGUCUGGAACGUGGCCGAGAAUGCCUACGUGGAAACGCUGUUCGGGCACCAAGAUGCGAUCACGGGGCUGGACAGCCUGAGCCGGGAGUGCUGUGUCACGUCAGGUGGGCGAGACGGCACCGUCCGGGUCUGGAAGAUCCCCGAGGAGUCUCAGCUUGUGUUCUACGGGCACCAGGGCUCCAUCGACUGCGUCCAGCUGAUCAACGAGGAGCACAUGGUGUCCGGCGCGGACGAUGGGUCGGUCGCCCUUUGGGGUCUUUCGAAGAAGAAGCCGCUCACGACGGUGAGGCAAGCGCAUGGUAACCACGGCACCCAGGGCCUGGAGCAGCCAUACUGGAUCUCCUCGGUGGCCGCCCUGCUGAACAGUGACAUUGUAGCCACAGGUGCCUCACGCUGCUCGCACAGCGCCAGCGUGCGGCUGUGGAAGUGUGGCGAGGGAUUCCGAAGGCUGGAGCUGCUCUUCGACAUCCCCCUGAUCGGCUUUGUCAACAGCUUGAAGUUCUCGAAUGCCGGGGAUUUCCUGGUUGUUGGCAUCGGACAGGAACACAGGUUGGGCCGCUGGUGGCGAAUCAAAGAAGCCAAGAACAGUGUCUGCAUCAUCCCGCUGCAGAGGACGGCAGCUGGCAGCGCACAGCCAGCUGAUGGCUCCUAACCCUGCUCCCCUCUUGCAUAUGGUCGUGUUGCUGCUAGAGCUUUCUGGGGAAACUGAGGUCCAAGGCCAGGGACAGAGCCGGGACUAGAACCCAGGUAUCCCAAGAACCAGUGCACAGAGCUAUUCAGUGGGCCACCAUUGCUUUUCUACUUUAGCAACUGAGUUGUUUUCUCACCUCCAGCAAAAAGCUUGGUGCUGCCUUGAUUUUUAAAGUGAAGGCUCAGGGCCUCCUGCCUGGCUCCCAUAACCUGCCCCUUUCUAGCACCUCAGUGCAUAGAGGAUUGACCUGACCUGGUGCUGCAACACUUUUCAUUGUCGUUUGUAGUAUGGUGACACUGAGAGGUGGCAGCUGGGCUGGGAGCCCUGUUGGGCAGCCUAUACACUGAAGCGUCCACAGGGCAAAGGGUGUCAGGGCCCCCCAUGACAGAGGAACUGAGGCACAAAGUGAUAACAUGACUCGCCAAAGGUGUGUCACGCAGGCUGGGGCACAGCAGGGCACUGACCCCACAUUGCCUGAAUCACAGAACCCAGUCACUCCAUCAUCAGUCCCUGGAACCAUGCAGUUCUGCCAAGAAGACACAGACAUCCAGCUCUUGCUUUCUACUCCAGGGAGAGGCCCACAGGGCACCUACGGGCAUCCGUUAAAAAAAAAAGCACUUUAUUUACAUAAAUUACAAAAACCACAAACUUGGUCACAAAAAAGAUCUAUGCUUAAAAACUCACUUGGCUUGUAAUACAUGUGUCACAAUGAUAAUAAUCCUAGUCAAGGGCCAAAGAACACGUACAUUUUCAUUAGUAGCCGGCUAAUUAUAGUUUUCUCUCCAGCCAAAAGGCUCCUUCCAAUAAAUAGUUUAUAAAAAUUAAAAAAAUGCCACGAGAUACAGAGCUACAUUGCCCAGCUCAGCCUGUCAUUUGGUUUUCAGGAUCUCCCUUGCAUUGAGUGCCAGUGGCCACAGGUACAGUGGGGGGAGGCAGGAAUGCACAGCUGUCUCCCGGUGGGGGGAGAUUAGUGACUAGAAGCAGUGGAGCAGGAGGCUAAUUGCUAGUGCCUGUCCAGCAGUCAGGAAGAGCCGUGGUGCUGACAGGUGUCCUGCUGGAGCAGUGGAUAGUAUGGUGGGAAGGGGGCAUUGGCAGAAGGACAGGAUAUUGGCACCGGUGUCACGGCUGAGGGCUGGGCACAGCGACGAACACUGGAAUUCUAGCGCUUAGCACCAACAUCAUGGGGCUACUGUGAAAAAAGUUGAGACCCACAGAAAACUUUUAAGAGAGAUCAGCAGCACGUUUGCUUAAAUAACUAAUAACUCACCUGGUUUAAAUACUUCUAUAGUUCUACAGUAAACACGGAUUUUUCCAUCAGUUAGCUGAAAAAUACUGGUAUGACCUCUUUAGCACUACCCAGCCUACCAGGGCCUUGAUACGGAUAAUUCCUUACAGGACGUGCUGGCUAAUGAUGUCAUUUGAGACACAGGAAGAGCAGCUCAGCAUCUGAAUGCAUUUCAAAGGCAGAAGAUCCGUUGCUGUGAAAUUAACCACUAACAAAUUCUCAGUAAGGAUCCAAAUUGUUGUGCCAAUAACUUCACCCUGUCUCUCUCCUCUGAGCGCUGCCUUGCAUGUCCUAUUUCAGCCAUCCAAGCCAAUGGGCAAGAGGGCAGGUGCUCACCUCAUCACGCCAGGGACCCCAGCGACUUGAAAUCUAAUUGAUUAACAAAACAAAUAGUUACAAGUAAUUUACCUAUGUCCCUCCACAAAGGUUGGGGACUUUUGAAAUCCCAUUUUCCUCUUUCUAAAUGUCUCCCUGGGGCUGUGAGAAAGACCCACACAAACAGCAGGAAAAUGAGUAUUCAUAUGGGGUGGGGAAGGAGGGGAACUCUACACAAAGUGCUAUCAAAUAUAAAAAGGAAACAUACUGGAAAAAACAGACAUGAAUUUUUGAUUCUUUACCCUGAUCCUAGGAAUCACUUGUAAUCGUAAUGGGUAACGUAAUUCAGUGUGAAAUGUA
Molecule: RNA transcript, 3521 nt
Organism: Dermochelys coriacea (leatherback sea turtle)
Lineage: Eukaryota; Metazoa; Chordata; Testudines; Dermochelyidae
Gene: RRP9
Gene name: ribosomal RNA processing 9, U3 small nucleolar RNA binding protein
Exons: 17
Source: RefSeq, a predicted model, not a curated record